RNAcentral lists this ribosomal RNA (252 nucleotides) under uncultured bacterium. Its description in RNAcentral is "partial 16S ribosomal RNA". It matches the Rfam family "Bacterial small subunit ribosomal RNA", at positions 524 to 776 of the family's 1533-position model. The record is from RNAcentral.
UACGGAGGAUGCGAGCGUUAUCCGGAUUUAUUGGGUUUAAAGGGUGCGUAGGCGGCCUGCCAAGUCAGCGGUAAAAUUGCGGGGCUCAACCCCGUACAGCCGUUGAAACUGCCGGGCUCGAGUGGGCGAGAAGUAUGCGGAAUGCGUGGUGUAGCGGUGAAAUGCAUAGAUAUCACGCAGAACCCCGAUUGCGAAGGCAGCAUACCGGCGCCCUACUGACGCUGAGGCACGAAAGUGCGGGGAUCAGACAGG